This 2998-nucleotide long non-coding RNA is filed under the name Homo sapiens (human). RNAcentral describes it as "long independently transcribed non-coding RNA 3036, transcript variant 2 (LINC03036)". Lineage: Eukaryota; Metazoa; Chordata; Mammalia; Primates; Hominidae. The record is from RNAcentral.
CUGUGUGCGCGCUCCGCUCCAGCCCGCGCGGCUCCCGCGCCCCGCGCGCUGCGCCAGCCUCGCCAGCUGUCGGGCGGCCUUCAUUCCGGGAGGGGGCGGGCGAGGCGCCGCCUCGAGCCGUGGCGCUCAUUGGCUGCAGACCAGAGCCCCCCGGCGCCUCGGGCGCCGCUCCGGACGCUGAUUGGUGGGAACACGGGGAGGGGGCGUGUUCUCCGCGCAGCUGGGAGGAGUCUGGAAUGAAACAGAUGGAAACAGCCAGUCUGUGAACGUUUCUUCAGGUAUCCGGCAGAGGUGAGAAGACAGGGCAGGUGGCCAUGGACAGACUCGCCAGUGUUCUUCUAGCACCAGGUUCUUCAGCUCCAAAUCAACAGCUGGGAAGGGAAACUUAUUCCUUGGCAUCUGCACAAAGGCCUCCCUGGGGCUUGGUGCUCCCCAUCCCCGCCACACACAUACAGCAUGGAUUUGAUUCUCCUGGGCCAGUGAGAAGAGCAACGCCAAGAUGUAAUUAAAGAUUUUGAGAUGAAGUGGUCAUCCUGAUUAUCCAAGUGAGCCUGAAAUCCAAUGACACAUGUCCUGAUAAAGGACACACAGAGGAAAAGACAGAAACAUGGAUGAAAAGGCAAAGUGAAGACAGAGCAAAGCCGUCCAAGCCAAGGAAUGCUGAUGGCACUAGAAGCUGGAAGAGGCAAGAAAGGAGCCUCUCCUAGGGCCUUCAGAGGGAGCGUGGCCCUGCUGACACUGCCGACACCUGGAUUUCGACUUCUGGCCUCCAGAACUGUAAGAGAACAAAUUUCUAUUGUUUUAAGUGGCUGAAUUUGUAGUAAUUUGUUAUGACAGUUGUAGAAAACUAAUGGGACAUAGGACUAGAGUCCUAAAGCCCAGUCCAUGGUCAGGGAAGUGGAGAGGGAGCUGAGGAUAUCCUCCCCAGGGGCCACAGACUCAUGUGAAUAUAAAGCCUUUUUUGGUUUCUUUUGAGUAAAUCACUCGCAAUCCCAUAGAUUUCUGAUUUUUUUUUUUUUUUUGAGACAGAUUCUUGAUCUGUUGCAGGCUGGAGUGUAGUGGCCUGAUCUCAGCUCUCUGCACCCUCUGCCCCCUGGGUUCAAGCAAUUCGGGUUCAAGUGAUUCUCAUGCCUCAGCCUCCUGAGUAGCUGGGACUACAGGCAUACACUACCAUGCCCGGCUAAUUUUGUAUUUUUAGUAGAGACGGGGUUUCACCAUGUUGGCCAGGCUGGUCUUGAACUCCUGGCCACAAGUGACCCGCCUGCCUCAACCUCCCAAAGUGUUGGGAUUACAGGCAUGAGCCACCGCGCCCAGCCAGAUUUCCAAUUUUAUAUAAGACCAAGCCCUACUUACCAGAUACUUUUAUAUAAACUAUUCAGUUGCUACUAACAUUGGGCAUAAGGCAUUGUUUUACACUUUAAUAUCAUGUACAAAACCACUUUUUUUUUGAUAAAGCAAAUCAGUGGUUUCCAAGUGGGGCGCUCAGCACAAGGUGCUGGGUUGUGUGAAAAAAUAUUGGAACUUUGGGGCUAAAAAAAUAACAAAGCAAUUAUACUUUCCUAAUCUUUUAAUGUUCAGAAGAUGAUACUUUCAAGGAUCAUUUCUAUCAUUUGUUACUAGAAAAGUUUCUCUGAAUGUGUAGAACACCAAAAAGUAUUAAACAAAAAUUUUAAAAACCCACAAAGCACAAAACGGACUCAGCUUGACAGUCAUAGCUUUCCUCAGAGGCUCCUUUGCCACCCAUGGCACAGGUGCAGCCUUGAAUGCUCUGUGAUGUGGGGGCCGGUGCUGGUAACCUCACCACCUGCACAUCAACACUCAGGGGAAUCUGAGAUAGUUUGGUCUAUUCGCAAGUGGGUAGAUGGAUUUAUAAACUACACAACCUAGGCCAUUUUUUGUUUUUGUUUUUAAAGAGACAGGAUCUGGCCCUGUCCCCCACACUGGAGUGCAGUGGUGCGAUCUUAGCUCACUGCAGCCUCGAACUCCUGGGCUCAAGCAAUCCUCCUGUCUCAGCCUCCUGAGUCGCUGUGACUAUAGGUGCAUGCCACCACACCCAGGUUUUUUUUUUUUGUUUUUUGUUUUUUUCCUGUAGAGAUGAGGUCUUUUUGUGUUGCCUAGGCUGGUCUCAAAUUCCUGGCCUCAAAAGAUCCACCUGCUUCAGCCUCCCAAAUUGCUAGGAUUUAUAGAUGUGAGGCACUGGACCCAGCCCAUGAUCUAGUUUUACCAAAAUUGAUCUUUACAAAAUGAAAAUGUUUUAAUAGAUUAUUAUAGAUUGAAGAUUAAAGAUAAUACUAAUAGUAUAAGUCCCAGAAAACCAUAAGAAAUUGGCAGAGCUUAUGUGGCUAGUAUCAGCUCUAUAUCAGCACAUUAUGAGGUAAAAUGAAAUCUGCCAAGAAGUCAGCCUCUUUGCCCCCCAAACUAAAAUGAUCAAGAGGGUCCCUUGAAAGAUGGAUUUAUGUCCACUGUCAUUCAUGAGCUCACCCUUAGUGUGUAUUGUGCCUUGCAAUAUUAUUUAUUAAUAAAAAAAUGCCAUCAAAAUUAACACUAAAAUAUUACAUCUUUAACUCAUCUUUAAAAAAUUUUUAAUGUAAUGUAUAUAUAAUGUAUACAUAAAUAUGCAUGUAUUGGAGCUGCAAAUGUCUUAAAAAAUAGAGAUUUCUAUGGACUGAACUGUGUUCCAACAAAUACAUAUGUUGAAGCCCUAAUCCCCAGUGUGACUGUAUUUGGACAUGGGGCUUUUAGGAGGUAAUUAAGGUUAAAUAAGGUCAUAAGGGUGGGGUCCUAAUCAAUUGAAUUGGUGACCUUGUAAGAGAGGGAUGAGAGAGAUAUUGUGCUCUCUCUCCCUGUGCAUACAUCCAGGAAGGACCAUGUAAGAACAUAGCAAGAAGGCAGCCAUCUGCAGACCAGGAAGAGAGACCCCACCACAACCCAACCAUACCAGCACCCUGAUCUUGGGUUUCCAUAACUAUGAAAAAAUAAACUUCUGUUGUUUAAGCUA